GACGAACGCUGGCGGCGUGCUUAACACAUGCAAGUCGAGCGGUAAGGCCCUUUCGGGGGUACACGAGCGGCGAACGGGUGAGUAACACGUGGGUGACCUGCCCUCAGCUCUGGGAUAAGCCUGGGAAACCGGGUCUAAUACUGGAUAUGACUCCAUGACGCAUGUUGUGGGGUGGAAAGCCUUGUGCGGCUGAGGAUGGGCCCGCGGCCUAUCAGCUUGUUGGUGGGGUGANGGCCUACCAAGGCGACGACGGGUAGCCGGCCUGAGAGGGCGACCGGCCACACUGGGACUGAGACACGGCCCAGACUCCUACGGGAGGCAGCAGUGGGGAAUCUUGCGCAAUGGGCGAAAGCCUGACGCAGCGACGCCGCGUGAGGGAUGACGCCUGUGUACUCUUCUANCUCGACGAAGCGAGAGUGACGGUAGGAGACGAGAAGAAGACGACCGG
RNAcentral lists this ribosomal RNA (448 nucleotides) under uncultured bacterium. Its description in RNAcentral is "bacterial SSU rRNA". It matches the Rfam family "Bacterial small subunit ribosomal RNA", at positions 28 to 496 of the family's 1533-position model. The record is from RNAcentral.